Molecule: long non-coding RNA, 673 nt
Filed under: Apteryx rowi (Okarito brown kiwi)
Lineage: Eukaryota; Metazoa; Chordata; Aves; Apterygiformes; Apterygidae
Description: lncRNA (ENSARWG00000001066.1)
Source: RNAcentral
AAAACAAAUAGAGCAUCAUUAACAUACUUAAUAUCCCCAAGAUAUGAUUAAACAGCAUAAAUAGGCACAUUUUGAAGUGUCUGUUUCCCUUAGAAAGGCACCUCUGAGCUCUUUUUUUGAAAUGGGGAUGGGAGAAAGGAAAGAAUGAUGUUUCUGUAGAUGUCAAAGUUGCCUUUUUUUUUUUUUUUUAAGUUACUGAAUUCUUAUGUUGUUCAAUCACAGAUACAUUUCACUAUUGUGCUGCUUGCUUCUUUUGACUAAGAUCACUCGGGUUGACUUUUAUGAAUUUUAGACUUUUCUUCUUGUGUUUUCCUUUCCAAGGGGGACACAUCAUGGGAUGUAACAGAAGAAAGUUGACUGUGAUCCUGUGACUGACAGGAAAACAAGACUGGAAAUUAAACACUGCCAGUUUUCAAAUUGCUUCAGUUCAGAGCAUUGGAAUGGGCUCAAGUGGAAGAGCUGGUCUCUGCGUCCCCUUUGGUGUGGCUGGGUUGGACUUGGCAGCAGGGUGAAUCAGCUCCCUGAAGGAGAAGUCCUCUCCAACUGGUACCACCAGGUGUCCUGGCACUGAUACCUUGCAACAAUUUUUUUGGUUUGCAAUGUAACAGUGUGCAAUUCAAAAGCAAUGUCACCCAGAUGGCACCUCAGCCAGCUGAAGGAACCAGAAUGCAAC